This 253-nucleotide ribosomal RNA is filed under the name uncultured bacterium. RNAcentral describes it as "partial 16S ribosomal RNA". It matches the Rfam family "Bacterial small subunit ribosomal RNA", at positions 524 to 776 of the family's 1533-position model. The record is from RNAcentral.
UACGUAGGUGGCAAGCGUUGUCCGGAAUCAUUGGGCGUAAAGCGCGCGUAGGCGGCUUGUCAGGUCUGAUGUGAAAUCUUAGGGCUCAACCCUAAGCGUGCAUCGGAAACCGACUGGCUAGAGUCCGGGAGAGGAGAGUGGAAUUCCUGGUGUAGCGGUGAAAUGCGUAGAUAUCAGGAGGAACACCGGUUGCGAAGGCGGCUCUCUGGAACGGUACUGACGCUGAGGCGCGAAAGCUAGGGGAGCGAACAGG